UACGUAGGGGCCUAGCGUUGUCCGGAUUUAUUGGGCGUAAAGAGCUCGUAGGCGGCUUGUCGCGUCGGCUGUGAAAACCCGCGGCUCAACUGUGGGCGGGCAGCUGAUACGGGCAGGCUGGAGUUCGGUAGGGGAGACUGGAAUUCCUGGUGUAGCGGUGAAAUGCGUAGAUAUCGGAAGGAACAUCAGUGGCGAAAGCGGCUUCCUGGUCCAGCACCGACGUUCAGGCACGAAAGCGUGGGGAGCAAACAGG
This 253-nucleotide ribosomal RNA is filed under the name uncultured bacterium. Its description in RNAcentral is "partial 16S ribosomal RNA". It matches the Rfam family "Bacterial small subunit ribosomal RNA", at positions 524 to 776 of the family's 1533-position model. The record is from RNAcentral.